GUGGCGCACGGGUGCGUAACGCGUAUGCAAUCUACCUUUAACUGGAGGAUAGCCCCGAGAAAUCGGGAUUAAUACUCCAUAAAAUUGAGAAGGGGCAUCUCUUUUCAAUUAAAGCUCCGGCGGUUUUAGAUGAGCAUGCGUGACAUUAGCUAGUUGGUGAGGUAACGGCUCACCAAGGCGACGAUGUCUAGGGGUUCUGAGAGGAUUUUCCCCCACACUGGUACUGAGACACGGACCAGACUCCUACGGGAGGCAGCAGUAAGGAAUAUUGGGCAAUGGGCGCAAGCCUGACCCAGCCAUGCCGCGUGAAGGAUGACGGCCCUAUGGGUUGUAAACUUCUUUUGUACGGGAAAAAACCCCCGGUCGUGUACGGGGCUGAUGGUACCGUAAGAAUAAGCAUCGGCUAACUCCGUGCCAGCAGCCGCGGUAAUACGGAGGAUGCAAGCGUUAUCCGGAUUCAUUGGGUUUAAAGGGUGCGCAGGCGGAAUGAUAAGUCAGUGGUGAAAUCCUACGGCUCAACUGUAGAACUGCCAUUGAUACUGUCAUUCUUGAGUACACUUGAAGUGGGCGGAAUGUGUCAUGUAGCGGUGAAAUGCUUAGAUAUGACACAGAACACCGAUCGCGAAGGCAGCUCACUAAAUUGUAACUGACGCUCAUGCACGAAAGCGUGGGGAUCAAACAGGAUUAGAUACCCUGGUAGUCCACGCCGUAAACGAUGAUCACUCGAUGUUGGCGAUACACUGUCAGCGUCUAAGCGAAAGCAUUAAGUGAUCCACCUGGGGGAGUACGGCCGCAAGGUUGAAA
This 804-nucleotide ribosomal RNA is filed under the name uncultured bacterium. RNAcentral's name for it is "bacterial SSU rRNA". It matches the Rfam family "Bacterial small subunit ribosomal RNA", at positions 95 to 899 of the family's 1533-position model. The record is from RNAcentral.